This 529-nucleotide long non-coding RNA is filed under the name Setaria italica (foxtail millet). Its description in RNAcentral is "long non-coding RNA (SITA_LNC001866)". The record is from RNAcentral. Lineage: Eukaryota; Viridiplantae; Streptophyta; Magnoliopsida; Poales; Poaceae.
GACAACAACGCUGCGGCGCGCAUCGAGCAAUUCUGGAUGAUGUGGUAUGGUUCUCCAAAGACUCAUACUUGAUAUCCUGUUGUUUUCUAAACCCUGAACUUGUCCGUGUAGUUUAUACAGCAGCAUCCAGUACCUUUGUAGGCUCUGGAUUCCUUUGUUCCCUCCCUGGUGGUCCUGCAAUGCCACCAUGUCGGUAUGAUUAUUGUAAACCUUUGCUUGAUCCCUUUCUUAACCGCUAAAGCCGCGCAUUAGGGCCUAGUUUAAUGCAUUUGCGCUUCUUUUAUGCUCCUGUAUGCGGCGGUUUGCUCAUUCCACAUGUUUCCUUGUCUCCAGAUUACUGCUCUGCAAUGGGUGAAACCUUUUUGGACUGCUUUCACUUUCACCUCUCUGGAGGCAUGGUUGUGCGUGUUUUUAUCGCCUAAUUACCGUGAUUAAUACCAACCUUUUUCUUGUGCUGGGGAACCAUGAUUAUCAGGUUGAUAUAAACCUAGGCAAAUGUCUCCACAAGUCCAGUCUUGCAGGUCUACAU